Molecule: ribosomal RNA, 740 nt
Filed under: Cypridopsis sp. OC-2001
Lineage: Eukaryota; Metazoa; Arthropoda; Ostracoda; Podocopida; Cyprididae
Description: eukaryotic LSU rRNA
Rfam family: Eukaryotic large subunit ribosomal RNA
Source: RNAcentral
GCUAAGGAAGUGUGUAACAACUCACCUGCCGAAGCAACCAGCCCUGAAAAUGGAUGGCGCUCUAGCGUUCUACCUAUACUCGACCGCUGGAACAGAGCUGGCACCUUCACUGGUGCAGGGCCCUUAUGUUCCAGUGAGUAGGGGGGUGCAGUGGUGCGCGUCGAAGGGUCUGGGCGUGAGCCUGCCUGGAGCUGCCACUGGCACAGAUCUUGGUGGUAGUAGCAAAUACUCAAGUGAGAUCCUUGAGGGCCGACGUGGAGAAGGGUUCCAUGUGAACAGUACUUGCACAUGGGUGAGUCGAUCCUAAGCCUGAGGCGAAAGCCGUUCCUACAUACUUGGGCCAACUGAACUCCAAGUGGGUGAGCGCCCGUAGGAGUGAGGCGAAAGGGAAUCCGGUACUUAUUCCGGAACCUGGACGUGAGGAGUAGUGGCACCUCGUGUGCCACCUAGCCGCAAGGCGUUUGCCUUCCUGGAGAUGUCCAACUGGAGAGUCGGGAAGAGUUUUCUUUUCUGGUUAAGGGGCUGAGGGCCUUGUGAACCGAGUCGUUCGGAGAGAGGGUCUUGGCCCCGAAGAGCGCCGCGGUUCUUGCGGCGUCCGCGCUCCUCCAGUAUGGAACUUGAAAAUCCGGGGGCAAGAAUGCGUACCUUCACGCCAGUUCGUACCCAUAUCCGCAUCUGGUGUCCGAGGUGAACAGCCUCUAGUCGAUAGAUUAAUGUAGGUAAGGGAAGUCGGCAAGCCA